This 449-nucleotide ribosomal RNA is filed under the name uncultured bacterium. RNAcentral describes it as "partial 16S ribosomal RNA". It matches the Rfam family "Bacterial small subunit ribosomal RNA", at positions 29 to 523 of the family's 1533-position model. The record is from RNAcentral.
AACGAACGCUGGCGGCGUGCUUAACACAUGCAAGUCGCACGAGUGGCAACACUAGUGGCGCACGGGUGAGUAACACGUGGGAAUCUGCCCUAAAGUUUUGGAUAACUAUUGGAAACGAUAGCUAAUACAAGAUGAUCUGGUAACAGGAAAGAAUUUAUACGCUGUAGGAUGAGCCCGCGGGUGAUUAGUUAGUAGGUGGGGUAAGAGCUUACCAAGACGAUGAUCAAUAGCUGUUCUGAGAGGAAGAUCAGCCACACUGGGACUGAGACACGGCCCAGACUCCUACGGGAGGCAGCAGUGGGGGAUUUUGGACUAUGGGGGGAACCCUGAUCCAGAAAGGCCGCGUGAGUGAAGAAGGCCUUCGGGUUGUAAAGCUCUUUUACUGAUGAAGAUGAUGACGGUAAUCAGAGAAUAAGUUCCGGCAAACUUCGUGCCAGCCGCCGCGGUAA